This is a non-coding RNA of Marmota monax (woodchuck), 73 nucleotides long. The record is from the annotation of a RefSeq genome assembly. NCBI's taxonomy places the organism in Eukaryota, Metazoa, Chordata, Mammalia, Rodentia, Sciuridae.
GGGGAUAUAGCUCAGUUGGUAGAGUGUUUGCCUAGCAUGCACAAGGCUCUGGGUUCAAACACCAGCAUCACCA